AAAAUUAAGAUAGCAAUAAACCAGGGGCCUUCAAAGACCCAAACAAAAACCCACCCCACUUAAUAUCU
RNAcentral lists this transfer RNA (68 nucleotides) under Cnemaspis peninsularis. RNAcentral's name for it is "tRNA-Trp". Lineage: Eukaryota; Metazoa; Chordata; Lepidosauria; Squamata; Gekkonidae. The record is from RNAcentral.